This 304-nucleotide ribosomal RNA is filed under the name Deltaproteobacteria bacterium. RNAcentral's name for it is "partial 23S ribosomal RNA". It matches the Rfam family "Bacterial large subunit ribosomal RNA", at positions 2632 to 2925 of the family's 2925-position model. Lineage: Bacteria; Pseudomonadati; Myxococcota; Myxococcia. The record is from RNAcentral.
UGGUCCCUAUCUUUCGUGGGCGCAGGAUAUUUGAGGGGAUCUGUCCCUAGUACGAGAGGACCGGGAUGGACGAACCUCUGGUGUGCAGGUUGUCAUGCCAAUGGCAAUGCCUGGUAGCUAUGUUCGGAUUGGAUAACCGCUGAAAGCAUCUAAGCGGGAAGCCAACCUCAAGAUAAGAUAUCCCUUUCCCGUGGAAACACGGGAACUGAAGACCCCUUGUAGACGACAAGGUUGAUAGGCCAGGUGUGUAAGUACGGCAACGUAUUUAGCUUACUGGUACUAAUCGGUCGUGAGGCUUGGCCAC